GCGGGUAUGGUUCAAUGGUAGAACGUCAGCCUUCCAAGCUGAACACAGGGGGUCGAUUCCCCUUACCCGCUCCA
Molecule: transfer RNA, 74 nt
Filed under: Clostridium botulinum D/C
Lineage: Bacteria; Bacillati; Bacillota; Clostridia; Eubacteriales; Clostridiaceae
Description: tRNA-Gly
Rfam family: tRNA
About the family: Transfer RNA (tRNA) molecules are approximately 80 nucleotides in length.
Source: RNAcentral